Molecule: ribosomal RNA, 400 nt
Filed under: uncultured bacterium
Lineage: Bacteria
Description: bacterial SSU rRNA
Rfam family: Bacterial small subunit ribosomal RNA
Source: RNAcentral
GAAUAUUGGACAAUGGGCGAAAGCCUGAUCCAGCAAUGCCGCGUGAGUGAUGAAGGCCUUAGGGUUGUAAAGCUCUUUUACCCGGGAUGAUAAUGACAGUACCGGGAGAAUAAGCCCCGGCUAACUCCGUGCCAGCAGCCGCGGUAAUACGGAGGGGGCUAGCGUUGUUCGGAAUUACUGGGCGUAAAGCGCACGUAGGCGGAUCGUUAAGUGAGGGGUGAAAUCCCAGGGCUCAACCCUGGAACUGCCUCUCAUACUGGCGAUCUCGAGUUCGAGAGAGGUGAGUGGAAUUGCGAGUGUAGAGGUGAAAUUCGUAGAUAUUCGCAGGAACACCAGUGGCGAAGGCGGCUCACUGGCUCGAUACUGACGCUGAGGUGCGAAAGCGUGGGGAGCAAACAGG